CCUGACGAGUUAUCUUUUAGAUGACGAAGUGGUUGAUGCCAUGCUUCCAAGAAAAGCUUCUAAGCUUCAGGUAACCAGGAACCGUACCCCAAACCGACACAGGUGGUUGGGUAGAGAAUACCAAGGCGCUUGAGACACUCGGGUGAAGGAACUAGGCAAAAUGGCACCGUAACUUCGGGAGAAGGUGCGCCGGUGAGGGUGAAGGACUUGCUCCGUAAGCCCAUGCCGGUCGAAGAUACCAGGCCGCUGCGACUGUUUAUUAAAAACACAGCACUCUGCAAACACGAAAGUGGACGUAUAGGGUGUGACGCCUGCCCGGUGCCGGAAGGUUAAUUGAUGGGGUUAGCUAACGCGAAGCUCUUGAUCGAAGCCCCGGUAAACGGCGGCCGUAACUAUAACGGUCCUAAGGUAGCGAAAUUCCUUGUCGGGUAAGUUCCGACCUGCACGAAUGGCGUAACGAUGGCGGCGCUGUCUCCACCCGAGACUCAGUGAAAUUGAAAUCGCUGUGAAGAUGCAGUGUAUCCGCGGCUAGACGGAAAGACCCCGUGAACCUUUACUAUAGCUUUGCACUGGACUUUGAAUUUGCUUGUGUAGGAUAGGUGGGAGGCUUUGAAGCGUGGACGCCAGUUCGCGUGGAGCCAACCUUGAAAUACCACCCUGGCAACUUUGAGGUUCUAACUCAGGUCCGUUAUCCGGAUCGAGGACAGUGUAUGGUGGGUAGUUUGACUGGGGCGGUCUCCUCCUAAAGAGUAACGGAGGAGUACGAAGGUGCGCUCAGACCGGUCGGAAAUCGGUCGUAGAGUAUAAAGGCAAAAGCGCGCUUGACUGCGAGACAGACACGUCGAGCAGGUACGAAAGUAGGUCUUAGUGAUCCGGUGGUUCUGUAUGGAAGGGCCAUCGCUCAACGGAUAAAAGGUACUCCGGGGAUAACAGGCUGAUACCGCCCAAGAGUUCAUAUCGACGGCGGUGUUUGGCACCUCGAUGUCGGCUCAUCACAUCCUGGGGCUGAAGCCGGUCCCAAGGGUAUGGCUGUUCGCCAUUUAAAGUGGUACGCGAGCUGGGUUUAGAACGUCGUGAGACAGUUCGGUCCCUAUCUGCCGUGGACGUUUGAGAUUUGAGAGGGGCUGCUCCUAGUACGAGAGGACCGGAGUGGACGAACCUCUGGUGUUCCGGUUGUCACGCCAGUGGCAUUGCCGGGUAGCUAUGUUCGGAAUAGAUAACCGCUGAAAGCAUCUAAGCGGGAAACUAGCCUCAAGAUGAGAUCUCACUGGGACCUUGAGUCCCCUGAAGGGCCGUCGAAGACUACGACGUUGAUAGGUUGGGUGUGUAAGCGCUGUGAGGCGUUGAGCUAACCAAUACUAAUUGCCCGUGAGGCUUGACCAA
This 1383-nucleotide ribosomal RNA is filed under the name metagenome. RNAcentral describes it as "bacterial LSU rRNA". It matches the Rfam family "Bacterial large subunit ribosomal RNA", at positions 1562 to 2925 of the family's 2925-position model. The record is from RNAcentral.